CGGUUAGCUUCCUCUGGCCAUUGUAGGUAACAAUCAGUGUAGCUUCAACCAGCCUGCGCCAGCUACCGAGGGCAGUUAAUUGAGGGCUCUUAGGCAGAUAAGACCUACAAAAACAGAAAAGCCUCACCCAGAGAGGGCUGGAAAAGCUGUAACAACUGUAACAAAACCUCAUGGUUGUAGGGUUUUCUGUAACAGAUAAACUUACUAUGUCUCAGCGUGAUACAAAAUCUCCAGUUUCCAUUGCUGACUGUGAGGGAAUGUAAGACAUCAAGACUGGGUACAGAUGACUGGGACCUGUAGUCACUGAAAACAUUGGCUCCACAGUCAAGGAGACAGUAACAAGAAUCGUUGUGAAACUCCUUCAGCACUGCAUCAUCAGGCAGGAAGAUGAUUUUGUCCAGUGUAUUCCCUAAAACUGCCAACUGAGAAAAUUCUACACUUUGAUCAAGGAGGCUGUUCUCUGUGACAUCAUUUCAUAAAAACCAGAGUAGAGCACUGCAGUUGCUACUGGGACCACGUGCUGAUGUAACGGCCUUUUGGGAUCCAUUCCCAUUGUAAUGGGCGUAUUAUGUAGGAGGCUGCCAUAGUCUGCAGAGGUGUAGUCAAGCUGUUGUCCAGGCUGCCUUGAAUCAGCGGCAGGAGGCAGGCACCUUCAGACAGCUCUGCUGCUGUGCUUACACUGGUGUCUGCAGCCGGCUGAGCGAGCUGCCUGCUGGAGGUGACUUUUCCUCUCCUGCAGUUUCUCUGACUACAGAAGAAGCUGAGAUGACAACCUAGACUAAGUGCUUAACUUUUAGAUGGCUCGAAUGAAUUAAUUAGCCAUGGUGCUCGGAGGUGAUCUAAUACAAAUCUUCAUGCUAAUAUGCCUAGCCUGUAAUACUGUGAUCUCGAACUUGCCGGAUCUUCAUACUUGGCUUGUGAAGUACCCAUGCCCUGCCCCAUCUCUUCUCCAAUGGGCUCUACCUAUUUUUAGAAUCCGAAAGCCAGCUAGACGACUAUGCUGCAGGCUUUACAUCUUCUGAGAACUAUUGCUGCAACACCCUGGUGUGAUGACAUCUGUAGGUAUCUGUUCAGGCAGCUGUGCCAUUGGGAACUCCAUAAAAUCCCAGUGCUGUAGCUAUGAUUAAUAAUCACAUGAUGUUUAAAUCAUCAAAAGCGCACACCUAGAGUGUAUCCUGUAUCCAGACUGAAUUUAUCUGAAAGAUGUCAGAAAGACUUUGAACUUCUGAAGAACGUGGUAUGCAAAAAUCCUGCAUUCUCAAAGUGCAGCAGUUCUGAUAUAAUUUGCUUUCUGCUGGAGUCUUGAGAAGGGCUAAACAAACUGCCACACUUUGCCUGAAGAUUUAUGCUCUCUUGAUAGUUUCUAAAAACGUUUAAACAGCAAGGACAUUUUGUAAAGACAAAUACUAGUACUUUGCAAUCUACAAAAUCAUUAAGGCAUCACAACAUUGUUUUCUGAUUGUAGCUUAACAGGAAAAAAAAACAAUUCUCAGUGAUGAGUUUUAUUUUUCUGGUGGGCAUUUACUGAUGGAAGUAACGUGCAGUUCAGGAAAAUCAGCAAAAGCAAAGCAGAGUAACUGUCAAUAGAGGGAAAACGCUUUAAUAUUAAAAAUUAAUAUAAAGUUUUAUUCUAGAAUAUUGUUACUAUUUUUGUCCCCCUUUUUCUCCAACUCUUCAUAUUCUAUUUGUAAAUUUCUUAUUUGUCAGUAUUCAUUAGGCAUCACCCUUACACUUACACUCCAAAUUCAAAUAAAAAAGCGUAUUUUGAAUCUUUCCUAUUCCAUUUCAGCCAUCAGCCAGUGGCUCCCAGCCACUAAGGCAGGCCUGGGCCACCAAGUCUUGUUGGACUGUGCUGGCUAGGGUUAUUGUGCUGCUAUGGGAUGUGGUUGGCUUUCCCAAACAGAGCUUGGCUAUGAAAGGCUUGGGAGCUAUGGCCUUGUGCAGGAAACCUCUGCGAUAGAGAUUUGGUCUUCAUAGAUAGAGAUUUUGGUCUUAUUUGAUUGCUCUAUACAACAAUUUCCGGAUUUAAUACUAGCAUUGGACACUACUGUGGCAGCUGACUAAACACAUGAGAUUCAGAAGUUCAGUAACACUCCCUCUAUUUUCCUUCGCUCAGAAGAAAAUCUUGCUGGAGAUGCCAGACUGACAGCUGUGACUCUGAAUCUUUGUCCUUUGCUCUUACAAGUUCUCAAUGUGCAACGCAUUUUCUGUACUUCCUAAAUAAUGCAUUUUUGUUAUGUUAUGUAAAGGCCAGUUUUAAGUGAAGAAACAAGUCAUUUAAUUAGGGAAGCAAGUUUCAUUUUCAGUACAAGCAGCACUGUGCUCUGUUGUCAAUAAGAAAGUCAUUUCAGAAAUGGAUUUUUUUGUAUGUGAAAUACAGGAAAGGCAUCACAUGUCCCAGUUUCUCCCAAAGUCCAAAGCUUACACAAAAGAAGAUGACAAAAAAUCAGGCAGCUCAGGAGGAUAAAUGCAGUUAGUCAGGAAGGUUCUCAGAGCAAAUCACCUUUGUUACACAUGGCUCCGUCUACCUAUAGCAAAAUAUCGCUGAAGAGCUGGUGGUAAGCAAAGCCUGCUUUUCAUGUGAAAUAGGGAAAUUAGAAAAUAAUGUCAGUACAGUCUACAAAUAUUUUAAGAAAAUGAAAAAUUAGGAAAAAAAAAAACAUUUGUAUACGGUUUUAUUUUUCCCUCCCAUUUCAACCUUAUCUGCCUUGGUGGUUGAAGUGGAAAAGUCUCAACAGAAAAGCAGUGUGUCAUGAGCCUGCUCUACUAACAGUGACAAAAAAGAUGUGUUUGGUGUCAGAAGAGGUGCUGGCAUGGCAGACCAGCGUAUGCCGAUCCAUUUUGUUGCCUGUGCUAUCUACCAGAUUCGUGAUUGUAUGAUGGAAAUGGUCUCACUGGGAUCAUCUGCAUUACUCUUCAACACAGAAACUGUGAAACAACUUAAAGCAACAGUAGUCAAAACCUGAAGUUGAUUUUAAGUGUCCUGAAAGCUUGGCCUAAUUCACACAUGACACGACUCCAACACAGACACCUUUCUCCAGUUCUUUCCAAUCUGAAGGGGCUGCACUUUAGUGAAUCUUCAUCUGCCAGUGGUGAAUAUCUACAAAGUUUUGUCUUCAGUUGCUGAAAGUUUAAUUUUCUUAAU
Cygnus olor (mute swan) is the source of this 3145-nucleotide long non-coding RNA. RefSeq lists it as uncharacterized. The record is from RefSeq and is a predicted model, not a curated record. The transcript is spliced from 4 exons. Lineage: Eukaryota; Metazoa; Chordata; Aves; Anseriformes; Anatidae.